CCUACGGGUGACAGCAGUGAGGAAUAUUGGUCAAUGGGCGUAAGCCUGACCCAGCCAAGUCGCGUGAGGGAUGAAGGUUCUAUGGAUCGUAAACCUCUUUUAUAAGGGAAUAAAGUGCGGGACGUGUCCCGUUUUGUAUGUACCUUAUGAAUAAGGAUCGGCUAACUCCGUGCCAGCAGCCGCGGUAAUACGGAGGAUCCGAGCGUUAUCCGGAUUUAUUGGGUUUAAAGGGUGCGCAGGCGGCCUUUUAAGUCAGCGGUGAAAGUCUGUGGCUCAACCAGAGAAUUGCCGUUGAAACUGGGAGGCUAGAGUAUGUUUGAGGCAGGCGGAAUGCGUGGUGUAGCGGUGAAAUGCGUAGAUAUCACGAAGAACCCCGAUGGCGAAGGCAGCUCACUAAACUGGGACUGACAUUGAUGCGCGAAAGUGUGGGUAUCAAACAGGAUUAGAUACCCCAGUAGUC
Molecule: ribosomal RNA, 460 nt
Filed under: uncultured bacterium
Lineage: Bacteria
Description: partial 16S ribosomal RNA
Rfam family: Bacterial small subunit ribosomal RNA
Source: RNAcentral